GGGAAGCCGGUCGAAUUCCGGCGCUGACCCGCAACCGUAGGCCCGGCACCGCCGGGCGAGCCGGAAUGCC
Molecule: non-coding RNA, 70 nt
Organism: Streptomyces sp. WM6368
Lineage: Bacteria; Bacillati; Actinomycetota; Actinomycetes; Kitasatosporales; Streptomycetaceae
Source: Rfam